UGGGGAAUUUUGGACAAUGGGCGAAAGCCUGAUCCAGCCAUGCCGCGUGCAGGAUGAAGGCCUUCGGGUUGUAAACUGCUUUUGUACGGAACGAAAAGACUCUGGUUAAUACCUGGGGUCCAUGACGGUACCGUAAGAAUAAGCACCGGCUAACUACGUGCCAGCAGCCGCGGUAAUACGUAGGGUGCAAGCGUUAAUCGGAAUUACUGGGCGUAAAGCGUGCGCAGGCGGUUAUAUAAGACAGAUGUGAAAUCCCCGGGCUCAACCUGGGAACUGCAUUUGUGACUGUAUAGCUAGAGUACGGCAGAGGGGGAUGGAAUUCCGCGUGUAGCAGUGAAAUGCGUAGAUAUGCGGAGGAACACCGAUGGCGAAGGCAAUCCCCUGGGCCUGUACUGACGCUCAUGCACGGAAAGCGUGGGGAGCAAACGGGAUUAGAUA
RNAcentral lists this ribosomal RNA (438 nucleotides) under uncultured bacterium. RNAcentral describes it as "partial 16S ribosomal RNA". It matches the Rfam family "Bacterial small subunit ribosomal RNA", at positions 355 to 784 of the family's 1533-position model. The record is from RNAcentral.